Molecule: ribosomal RNA, 200 nt
Filed under: uncultured bacterium
Lineage: Bacteria
Description: partial 16S ribosomal RNA
Rfam family: Bacterial small subunit ribosomal RNA
Source: RNAcentral
CACGUAGGGGGCGAGCGUUGUCCGGAUUUAUUGGGCGUAAAGAGCUCGUAGGCGGUUUGGCAAGUCGGGUGUGAAAUUUCGAGGCUCAACCUCGAGACGCCACUCGAUACUGCCAUGACUGGAGUCCGGUAGAGGAGUGCGGAAUUCCUGGUGUAGCGGUGAAAUGCGCAGAUAUCAGGAGGAACACCAACGGCGAAGGC